This is a non-coding RNA of Lactuca sativa (garden lettuce), 474 nucleotides long. Lineage: Eukaryota; Viridiplantae; Streptophyta; Magnoliopsida; Asterales; Asteraceae. The record is from RefSeq and is a predicted model, not a curated record.
GUCAGGUCAUGACACGAGUAUUAGUUAUCACGACCUGGUGAAGUGUACGGUGUUAGACACAUGUUGAGUGGGUGAGACACAUAUCAAGAGGAUGGGACACAUGGCAAAUCGUCGAGCCGUGCAACAUUUAUCACGACAGGAUAGCCUAUUGGUCACGACUCGAUUCUCAAAAUUAUUGGAGUAUAUAAACAGGUUUGUGUUGUUCAUUUAAAGAGUUUUGGAACUGAAAUCAGAGAGAGAACUAAAGAGAGAUGGUUCUCGGGAAAGUGAUUGGUGAGUCGGUGCUAGAAUAUGAGGGUACGAACCAUCGAUCGGGUUGAGAUAUCUUCUUGUUAUGUUAUUACGUUGUCGUGUUUUAUAGCAUAAUUAUAAUGAAUUAUUAGAACCCAAUCUAGUUUUUAGAAGUCAUAAUAUGGUGUAAUUAUGAACUUCAUUGUAAACCUAACAUGUGAAUUAUAUGGAUUGGUUGAUAUA